GAUGAACGCUGGCGGCGCGCCUAACACAUGCAAGUCGAACGGUUAAAGCACCUUUUAGGUGUGUAUAAAGUGGCGAACGGCUGAGUAACACGUGGGCAACCUGCCCUCCUCUUGGGGAUAGCCUCGGGAAACCGAGGAUAAUACCCGAUACUUCAAUGUGGCCGCAUGACGACAUUGAGAAAGCUUUUGCGGAGAAGGAUGGGCCCGCGGCCUGUUAGCUUGUUGGUGGGGUAGAGGCCUACCAAGGCAAUGAUGGGUAGCUGGGUUGAGAGACCGACCAGCCAGAUUGGGACUGAGACACGGCCCAGACUCCUACGGGAGGCAGCAGUGGGGAAUCUUGCACAAUGGGCGAAAGCCUGAUGCAGCGACGCCGCGUGCGGGACGAAGGCCUUUCGGGUUGUAAACCGCUUUCCAGCAGGGACGAGGCGAAAGUGACGGUACCUGCAGAAGAAGCCC
This 456-nucleotide ribosomal RNA is filed under the name Lancefieldella rimae. RNAcentral describes it as "bacterial SSU rRNA". It matches the Rfam family "Bacterial small subunit ribosomal RNA", at positions 28 to 493 of the family's 1533-position model. The record is from RNAcentral. Lineage: Bacteria; Bacillati; Actinomycetota; Coriobacteriia; Coriobacteriales; Atopobiaceae.